CCUACGGGAGGCAGCAGUGAGGAAUAUUGGUCAAUGGACGCGAGUCUGAACCAGCCAUGCCGCGUGCAGGAAGACGGCUCUAUGAGUUGUAAACUGCUUUUGUACGGGGGUAAACGCAGAUACGCGUAUCUGUCUGAAAGUACCGUACGAAUAAGGAUCGGCUAACUCCGUGCCAGCAGCCGCGGUAAUACGGAGGAUUCGAGCGUUAUCCGGAUUUAUUGGGUUUAAAGGGAGCGUAGGCGGUCUGUUAAGUUAGAUGUGAAAGUCCGAGGCUCAACUGCGGAAUUGCCUUUGAUACUGGUCGUCUAGAGAGUAGUUGAGGUAGGCGGAAUGUAUGGUGUAGCGGUGAAAUGCUUAGAGAUCAUACAGAACACCGAUUGCGAAGGCAGCUUACCAAGCUACUUCUGACGUUGAGGCACGAAAGCGUGGGUAGCAAACAGGAUUAGAUACCCGAGUAGUC
RNAcentral lists this ribosomal RNA (460 nucleotides) under uncultured bacterium. Its description in RNAcentral is "partial 16S ribosomal RNA". It matches the Rfam family "Bacterial small subunit ribosomal RNA", at positions 338 to 795 of the family's 1533-position model. The record is from RNAcentral.